AAGUCCUGACCCUUCUGGCCGAUUACUGAAGAGGUUAUGGGUAGGAGGUCAUGGUUAGGUUUGGCCAUUCUUUGUAUAUUCAGUCUCUCAAUUGGGUGAGGAUUAGAUUUUGUUUCUCUUGACCUAGCUAGCUUUUAGCUCCAAAGUUUUGUUUAACUUGGAAGAAGACAGCAGUUCUAUUAUUUCUGUCAAGGAUAAACACAGACAUUGGGAUCUGAAAAGUAUUAUGGGAACAUACAUAAAUAUCUUCAUAGUGAGGGUCAGGCCGGAGAGUCACCCUUUGCCUUAAGCUUCUCCAUUUCCUUACUGAAUUCCUAUUUCUAUUAUAACUGACGCUUCACUAGCUUCCCUCCCUUUAGUGGAGGGCCCGGCCUCCUCCGCCCCUACUUUCUUCAGUCUUGCCCUUCGAGGGCAGGAGAAGACGGUUGCGCCCUACUAACUCUUCACCUUACA
RNAcentral lists this long non-coding RNA (453 nucleotides) under Homo sapiens (human). RNAcentral describes it as "non-protein coding lnc-DDX6-4:1". Lineage: Eukaryota; Metazoa; Chordata; Mammalia; Primates; Hominidae. The record is from RNAcentral.